AACUUUGUCAGAGCUGCUUCUCUUUGGCUAAAACGAUGAGAAUCCAUCUCUUUGAAUCUGUCAUAAACAAAGAAGCCCCCAUCAUUCACUCUCUCCGGAACCAUAGCCUUCUCAGAUGCCACAACCAAAGUAGCACUUCCCUCAUGUCUACUGCAAAAGCUUCCAUAUGCACUGCUGUUACUGUCAUCUGCAAUGCCAUUACACAUGCUGCUACUAGUACUCUGACUGGCAGCUGGAGAGCCAUGUCUCAGUUCCUCCGCAAGUUCCAUAUUAUUCUGCUGAUGCAAACUUUGGUCCACAGAAUUGGUGGUAGUUUCUUCAGAUUGUCUGUUAUUCUGUUCAGAGUCCUGAAUUUCAGAAUUUGAAUGAAUUGAAGUACUAAAUGGAGAAUGUUCUCGUUGGCUGGCCAGUUUGGGACUCCAAGCUGGGG
This 430-nucleotide unclassified non-coding RNA is filed under the name Hevea brasiliensis (rubber tree). The record is from RNAcentral. Lineage: Eukaryota; Viridiplantae; Streptophyta; Magnoliopsida; Malpighiales; Euphorbiaceae.